RNAcentral lists this ribosomal RNA (478 nucleotides) under uncultured bacterium. Its description in RNAcentral is "partial 16S ribosomal RNA". It matches the Rfam family "Bacterial small subunit ribosomal RNA", at positions 28 to 523 of the family's 1533-position model. The record is from RNAcentral.
GACGAACGCUGGCGGCGUGCUUAACACAUGCAAGUCGAACGGUAAGGCCCUUCGGGGUACACGAGUGGCGAACGGGUGAGUAACACGUGGGUGAUCUGCCCUGCACUUCGGGAUAAGCCUGGGAAACUGGGUCUAAUACCGGAUAGGACUCCGGACUGCAUGGUCUGGGGUGGAAAGCUUGUGCGGUGUGGGAUGGGCCCGCGGCCUAUCAGCUUGUUGGUGGGGUGAUGGCCUACCAAGGCGACGAGGGGUAGCCGGCCUGAGAGGGUGACCGGACACACUGGGACUGAGAUACGGCCCAGACUCGUACGGGAGGCAGCAGCGGGGAAUAUUGCACACUGGGCGCAAGCCUGAUGCAGCGACGCCGCGUGAGGGAUGACGGCCUUCGGGUUGUAAACCUCUUUCAGCACCGACGAAGCGCAAGUGACGGUAGGUGCAGAAGAAGGACCGGCCAACUACGUGCCAGCAGCCGCCGUAA